Molecule: unclassified non-coding RNA, 322 nt
Filed under: soil metagenome
Description: partial contains 5.8S ribosomal RNA, internal transcribed spacer 2, and large subunit ribosomal RNA
Rfam family: 5.8S ribosomal RNA (bases 2-119)
Source: RNAcentral
GUGAAGAACGUAGCGAAAUGCGAUAAGUAGUGUGAAUUGCAGAAUUCAGUGGAUCAUCGAAUCUUUGAACGCACAUUGCGCCCCUUGGUAUUCCAUGGGGCAUGCCUGUUCGAGCGUCAUUUGUACCUUCAAGCUUUGCUUGGUGUUGGGUGUUUGUCCUGAGGGACUCGCCUUAAAGUAAUUGGCAGCCAGUGUUUGGUUUUGAAGCGCAGCACAAGUCGCGAUUCAAGGCUAUACACCAGCUUCCACAAGCCUUUUUCACUUUUGACCUCGGAUCAGGUAGGGAUACCCGCUGAACUUAAGCAUAUCAAUAAGCGGAGGA